This 1214-nucleotide long non-coding RNA is filed under the name Gallus gallus (chicken). The record is from RNAcentral. Lineage: Eukaryota; Metazoa; Chordata; Aves; Galliformes; Phasianidae.
GCGCCUUCUCUGCUAUUGCCACCUACGUGAUUAUCGCCACUCUUCAAAAAGUCAACAUGUGCUUCUUUGUGAUGAAGCAGCUCCACAUCAUAGUUGGCUGAUGUGUUAGCAUGUUGUUCUUCCUUCAUAGGAAUGUUGGUUAUUGUGGUUGAAGCCAGAUCAAAAUGUUGCUGUACUAAAACAUUCAGUUUUGUAGCUAAAUGCCGUCCUGCACGGACACUGUGCACCUCGCUGGUUAAAACAGGUGAAAGCUCUUUUUUAGGACGAUCUGAAACAAGGCUGUCUUCACCAACUGGGUACGUGUGGAUUAAGACCAAUUCACAUUUCUGGAUCUGCAUUAGGUGAUCUGAAUUAGCUGCAAGCUUGUUAUGCUCAUGAAUGGUUUCCUGAACAUAAUCCUCAAGCAUCCGAACGUGACUGUCACUUUUUGCAUUAGUAAUACAGAUUAUUCUUCCUCUAUUUCCAACACGUUCUGCAUUCUCCAUGAGCAUGGUUCGAGCCUCAUGUUGGUAUUCUGUUAUUUUGCAAAGUGCUUCAACUGCAGCAACCAGCCCAUGAAGUAUGCUACAGCAUUCUGGAUCUGCCCGAGGAUUAGGUGGCCCCACAGCUGCUAAGGCUGCCAUUAACUCUUGCAAGUUCUGGUCUUCUUGGGUCCAAGAAUUCAAGACACGAGCUCCAGAAUCACUCACAAUGAAAUUUACCAGUUUCUUGAAAGGAAAAAUGUCAUACAUUAUUCUGCAGUACUCCAUAGAGGACUCCACUGAACAGGUCCAUAGUGAUUUUGAUAUGGGUGCUAGAGGUAUGAUUCCUUGGGUCCGGUUCUUUACUAACAUAUCAAAUUCAACAUGCUGUCUACAGGAUUCUGCCAUAUACGGGCAGUGAUCCACAACAAAAACAGUUUUAUGAGACUCGGAGAAGAUUUUCAUUUUUUGGGCCGGCUCCUGCGGUGCUGCAGCAGUCCCGGGCCUCCUCCACGCCGCGCCCGGGCCCUGCCGCGGGCCCGCUCCGGGGAGGAGGGGUAGGCCCCACGGGGCGCCCUAGAGAGGGCCGGGCGCGGGCGCCUGCGGCCGGGCGGCCUCCAUGCCCCUCCGCUCGCUUCCUCGGCGGCCGCCGCCGGCUCGGCGGGGAGCGCGGGGCCCGGCUCCGGCCUCCGCGCCCGGCGCCCGCGGGGGUGGGAGAAGCGGCCGCAGCCCCCCCCGCUCCGCCCACCCCUG